Molecule: long non-coding RNA, 845 nt
Organism: Oncorhynchus masou masou (cherry salmon)
Lineage: Eukaryota; Metazoa; Chordata; Actinopteri; Salmoniformes; Salmonidae
Exons: 3
Source: RefSeq, a predicted model, not a curated record
AUCCAUGCAGUGACUGAACAACAACUGCAUUUCCACCCCCAUCUCUAAAGGCAUAGUAUCAUGGCAGAUCACCUGUCAAGUCACCUGUCAGGGAGACUUUGCAAUGCCUCCAUGUGCGACUACCUUGAGCAGCAGUUUGAGGGACUUUGCGGGGAAAAUGCAGCACGACGACCCCCAGUGGGUGGGCGCCGAGGGGUGUGGUGCUCCUCCAGCAGCUCUCAUGAGGUUUUCUCUAUACUUUUGGUGGUCCACCUUCCCUGUGGCCGACAUGGUUGCUGUAUGGACAGUGGAGAGGACAUGGACGUCUCGCUUGUCAUGCCACUUUACUGCCAGCUGUUGACCGUUCUCCUGGAACUCCACCUUCCCUCUCUGCAUCUUCCUGCAUCUGAAUGCUGGCAUCCCCUUCCGGUUCAACCUGACUGUGCCACAGGCCCCUGUGCUGUUGGAGAGCAGAUGCUGGAAGAGUGUGGGACUGCUGUACCAAUUGUCCACGUACAAAGUGUGUCCCUUGCCGAGAUGAGGAGCCAGCAUGGUCAUCACCACGGACCCUGACACCCCAAGCCCCUCAUAAUGUUUGAUGUCAGUGGUGGGCCCUGUGUAAACUAUAAUGUCCUGGACAAAUCCUGUCUUCACGUCGCACAUGACAAGGAACUUGACUCCAAACCUGUGCCUUUUGGAGGGAAUAUAUUGACGGAACGCCAGCCUACCUUUCCAUAACAUCAGGGACUCAUCAAUGCAUAGGUCCUUGUAUGGCACAAAGACCUGACCAAAUGCUGAUGUCAGGCUGGUAAGAUAUUUCUUAUUUUGUAUAACAGGUCACUUAGGAUGGCAGUAACAUUGUUGAU